This 1733-nucleotide long non-coding RNA is filed under the name Phascolarctos cinereus (koala). RNAcentral describes it as "lncRNA (ENSPCIG00000033486.1)". Lineage: Eukaryota; Metazoa; Chordata; Mammalia; Diprotodontia; Phascolarctidae. The record is from RNAcentral.
GCAUGGAAAAAUGAUAUUUGUAACUCAUGAGAACUUUGUCAGUAUUAGGGUAGUUGAAGGAAAAAAAUUAUAUGUAUGUAUAUAUAGAUAGAUGUUGGAAGCCAGCACCUGGUAGUGGGCCCCUAACCCCGUGAAAACACCAAACCGCAAGCAGCUUGUUCCGGGACAAACCGUACAUAACAUGUUUGUCAGGGCUAACCGCAAAUGUUGCCACACCGCCCCUGGAAAGUCCCGGAGGCCCAUUUUUUUUGCCCCUCCCCCUUUUGCCCUAUAUAAGCUUGUAACGCUCAAAAAUAAAGUUAGACCUUGCCUACCAUCUUUUUGGUCUCGCUCCUCCUUUCACCCAUUCCUUUCAGCCAGGAUCCUCCUCGACCCCCCACGUAUACUGGCCCUGCAGGUCGGGGCAAGUGGCGCCCAACGUGGGGCUCGAGGUUCGGACUUCUGCCAGGCGGACCAGCAUUGAGAAACGAUUCGUCGCGACCCCCUCCUUCUCAUCGCUCAUGAAGAGCCCCUGCGUUUUGAAAAUGACGAUCCUCGUAAUUUUCCUCCUGUUCCGUGGGAGCCACGGUGGUUUUCAAUCUCCUGACCCAGUAGCGCUCAGCCGUGCCCUCUUUGGAAGCCCUUGUGACUGCGGCGGGGGCGUUCACUGUCCGUCCCGCCACCUACACGCAAGAAGUGGACUGCGGGGAAAAGACAGCCUACCUCGCCUACCGUCAUUCUAUCACGGUCUCCAAACCCAAGUGGGAAUGCGUAAGGAAGCCCCGAGUUAUCCCUCCGAAUGGUGGCCAGCCCGGGCCUUGCCCCAGUGAUUGCAACUACCUUGAGGCCUUGCACUCCACAUGCUAUAGUUCUACCCAGCAGUGCAGUGGCAGCUCAGGAACAGUCUAUCUUACUACAAUACAGGAAAGAGAAUAUGGUGGCUCCACAGGAGGGGACUGGGAUAGCUCCAAGCCUACGUGGAAGUACCAAUAAGUAUGCUCAGGCUUCCUGUCGUAAAGAAAAUAUUGGAAAAAAUGUCUGUUGGCCCCUUCAUGCACCUGUCCAUAUCUCUGAUGGGGGUGGCCCUACAGACCAAAUUAGGGAACAUGAGAUUGAGGCUUCUCUUAAAAACACCGUCAAUAUCCAUUACCACCAACUUGCUUUGUCAGAAGAUCCUAGUGAUACCAUGGAAGAGGGUCUCCAGUUCUCGAAGCUCGUGCAUCCGGAAUCUCGCUGCUCGCGGUGGUGGAGAAAUCUUAAGGAUAAAAAGUGAUCUGGCAGCUGUGAGAGAGCCCAUGACGGGAAUAUUGAGGUCCCAUGUGUCAAAAAGAUAAGCGCGGCUGCAGUUGCUUCCCCAUGACGGGAAUAGAGUGAGGCCAUGAUGGGUUACAUCGUGGGGGACCCCUCGCUUAGCCUAAGACAGGGACCACUGCCACUAAUGCGCUUUGAACAUGGAGGACGACCUCAUAGCCUAAGACAGGCCUCUCACCUGCUAUUUUAAAUAGAAAAGGGGGACAUGUUGGAAGCCAGCACCUGGUAGUGGGCCCCUAACCCCGUGAAAACACCAAACCGCAAGCAGCUUGUUCCGGGACAAACCGUAUCAUAACAUGUUUUCGUCAACAGAUGUACUAACCACAAAAUGUUGCCAUACCGCCCUGGAAAGUUCCGGAGGCCUAUUUUUUCUUUAGCCCCUCCCCACUUUUACCCUAUAUAAGCUUGGAACGCUCAAAAAUAAAAUUAGACCUUGCCUACCA